UGGCUCAGUUGGUAGAGCAUGCUGCUUGCAAAAUCAUGGAUGUGGGUUCGAUUCCCAU
This 58-nucleotide transfer RNA is filed under the name Salmo salar (Atlantic salmon). It matches the Rfam family "tRNA", at positions 8 to 63 of the family's 71-position model. From Rfam's summary of the family: Transfer RNA (tRNA) molecules are approximately 80 nucleotides in length. Lineage: Eukaryota; Metazoa; Chordata; Actinopteri; Salmoniformes; Salmonidae. The record is from Rfam by way of RNAcentral.